This 490-nucleotide ribosomal RNA is filed under the name uncultured bacterium. Its description in RNAcentral is "partial 16S ribosomal RNA". It matches the Rfam family "Bacterial small subunit ribosomal RNA", at positions 30 to 507 of the family's 1533-position model. The record is from RNAcentral.
AUUGAACGCUGGCGGCAGGCCUAACACAUGCAAGUCGAACGGUAACAGGAAGCAGCUUGCUGCUUCGCUGACGAGUGGCGGACGGGUGAGUAAUGUCUGGGAAGCUGCCUGAUGGAGGGGGAUAACUACUGGAAACGGUAGCUAAUACCGCAUAAUGUCGCAAGACCAAGGAGGGGGACCUUCGGGCCUCUUGCCAUCGGAUGUGCCCAGAUGGGAUUAGCUUGUUGGUGGGGUAACGGCUCACCAAGGCGACGAUCCCUAGCUGGUCUGAGAGGAUGACCAGCCACACUGGGACUGAGACACGGUCCAGACUCCUACGGGAGGCAGCAGUGGGGAAUAUUGCACAAUGGGCGCAAGCCUGAUGCAGCCAUGCCGCGUGUAUGAAGAAGGCCUUCGGGUUGUAAAGUACUUUCAGCGGGGAGGAAGGGAGUAAAGUUAAUACCUUUGCUCAUUGACGUUACCCGCAGAAGAAGCACCGGCUAACUCCGUG